This 317-nucleotide ribosomal RNA is filed under the name uncultured bacterium. RNAcentral describes it as "bacterial SSU rRNA". It matches the Rfam family "Bacterial small subunit ribosomal RNA", at positions 327 to 629 of the family's 1533-position model. The record is from RNAcentral.
CACUACCUACCGGGAAGGCAGGCAGGUGGGGAAGUAAUUUGCAUCAAAUGGGCAGGCAAGCCAUGAUGCAGCCAUGCCGCGUGUGUGAAGAAGGCCUUCGGGUUGUAAAGCACUUUCAGUCGUGAGGAAGGUAGUGUAGUUAAUAGCUGCAUUAUUUGACGUUAGCGACAGAAGAAGCACCGGCUAACUCCGUGCCAGCAGCCGCGGUAAUACGGAGGGUGCGAGCGUUAAUCGGAAUUACUGGGCGUAAAGCGCAUGCAGGUGGUUUGUUAAGUCAGAUGUGAAAGCCCGGGGCUCAAGCCUCGGAAUUGCAUUUG